ACUCCUACGGGAGGCAGCAGUAGGGAAUAUUGGACAAUGGGCGAAAGCCUGAUCCAGCCAUGCCGCGUGUGUGAAGAAGGUCUUCGGAUUGUAAAGCACUUUAAGUUGGGAGGAAGGGCGAGUAAGUUAAUACCUUGCUGUUUUGUACGUUACCAACAGAAUAAGCACCGGCUAACUUCGUGCCAGCAGCCGCGGUAAUACGAAGGGGUGCAAGCGUUAAUCGGAAUUACUGGGCGUAAAGCGCGCGUAGGUGGUUCAGCAAGUUGGAUGUGAAAUCCCCGGGGCUCAACCUGGGAACUGCAUCCAAAACUACUGAGCUAGAGUACGGUAGAGGGUGGUGGAAUUUCCUGUGUAGCGGUGAAAUGCGUAGAUAUAGGAAGGAACACCAGUGGCGAAGGCGACCACCUGGACUGAUACUGACACUGAGGUGCGAAAGCGUGGGGAGCAAACAGGAUUAGAUA
Molecule: ribosomal RNA, 461 nt
Filed under: uncultured bacterium
Lineage: Bacteria
Description: bacterial SSU rRNA
Rfam family: Bacterial small subunit ribosomal RNA
Source: RNAcentral